This is a long non-coding RNA of Bufo bufo (common toad), 147 nucleotides long. RefSeq lists it as uncharacterized. The transcript is spliced from 4 exons. The record is from RefSeq and is a predicted model, not a curated record. NCBI's taxonomy places the organism in Eukaryota, Metazoa, Chordata, Amphibia, Anura, Bufonidae.
CCUGUGCUACUUAUAUGUAGCGCUCAUGUGAUGCAAGUUUGAAACAGUGGGCUUAAAUGCAUUAUAUUGUCAUUUCUAGGGUUCUAUUCUUCAUUUUAAUGAUUAUUAAUGUUCCCUAGGGCUCAAUCAUCACAAUUAUAAUUAUAG